RNAcentral lists this long non-coding RNA (348 nucleotides) under Mytilus galloprovincialis (Mediterranean mussel). Lineage: Eukaryota; Metazoa; Mollusca; Bivalvia; Mytilida; Mytilidae. The record is from RNAcentral.
GGUUCUUUUCUUCUAUUACUUAAUCAUAUGUUGUUUACAAAUCACUCUAAAGAAGUAAACGGAAAGGAGCGAAUGCAGCUACAUUUGGUUAUUUUAAGUUUCAAAUCAUUUUAUUCCGUUUAGCUCCUUUCUAAAUAAGUGCAGAGGAGAACUACAUUUGUCUAUGGUGGCCGGUGAAGCCCAUUUCGCGUUUUCGCGAUUUCGCCUUUCAUAUUCUAUAGGGCGAAAACGCGAAAUCGCGAAAAGGCGAAAUCGCGAAGUCGAAAACGAGAAAUCAGUUUCGCGUUUUCGCGUUUUCGACUUCGCAAUAUCGCGUUUUCGGCCUAUAGAAUAUGUAAGGCGAAAACG